This 464-nucleotide ribosomal RNA is filed under the name Vreelandella stevensii. RNAcentral's name for it is "partial 16S ribosomal RNA". It matches the Rfam family "Bacterial small subunit ribosomal RNA", at positions 338 to 795 of the family's 1533-position model. Lineage: Bacteria; Pseudomonadati; Pseudomonadota; Gammaproteobacteria; Oceanospirillales; Halomonadaceae. The record is from RNAcentral.
CCUACGGAUUCAGCAGUGGGGAAUAUUGGACAAUGGGCGAAAGCCUGAUCCAGCCAUGCCGCGUGUGUGAAGAAGGCCUUCGGGUUGUAAAGCACUUUCAGUGGGGAAGAAAGCCUUGGGGCUAAUACCCUCGAGGAAGGACAUCACCCACAGAAGAAGCACCGGCUAACUCCGUGCCAGCAGCCGCGGUAAUACGGAGGGUGCGAGCGUUAAUCGGAAUUACUGGGCGUAAAGCGCGCGUAGGCGGUCUGAUAAGCCGGUUGUGAAAGCCCCGGGCUCAACCUGGGAACGGCAUCCGGAACUGGCAGGCUAGAGUGCAGGAGAGGAAGGUAGAAUUCCCGGUGUAGCGGUGAAAUGCGUAGAGAUCGGGAGGAAUACCAGUGGCGAAGGCGGCCUUCUGGACUGACACUGACGCUGAGGUGCGAAAGCGUGGGUAGAAAACAGGAUUAGAUACCCGGGUAGUC